UAUAAUAAAGAAAAUGGGGCAUUUUCAACGGUGGCCUCGGUUUUUUACUUAACUACCCUCGCUUAGAUUCCGAUCACAGCUAUGCAAUAGAGGGUAGUAAAGUAACUUGAUCUUCCUUUUCUCUGCAUCUCAACUCUCUUCUUCGUGAACGCAGGCGCCCUCUUCACCUCCUCCACGAAUUCUGAAACACCCCCACCAUGAAAGAGACACAGCGGCUAUGACAACUCUGAGACCUAGCACCAUAUUUCAAUCUAGGUUAGUCAAUUUUGAAUCAAACUAUAAUCUGAUUCUUAUUUAAUUUUGGGAAUUUCAAUCACUCAUUUUUUACCUAACUUUUUAGUUUCGCCUUCGCAAUUUCAAACGUUUUUAAAAUUGGACCUUACAGAAAUUUGUGAACUUCAAUUUCCCUUUGGGUUUUUGGCUCAGACUAUACAUCUUUCGAUAAUUUGUGAACAAUGGUUUGGAGAACAGCUUCAAGCUACAUAAAUGCUUCGGUUGAAGAUCAGCUUUUCUUGACAGUUUGAAUUCCAGAAUUGGGGUUUUUAACCCCCUGAAUCAGGAGGACUCAUUCAGGGAACUUCUGUCUUUCGUACCACAAUGAGAGGCUGUUAAACGUCAAGUCUGUGCUUCAAGACUGUAGCAUAUAUUGUCAGGUACAAAUUCAGAUGUCAUGGGUGAUGGUAACUUCUCUGGAUUUCUUUUUGGUUUGUCAUGUGAAAAUGCAGAGGAGGCGGGACAUAACCUAUUUCUCUAACAUUGUUAAUUUUUUAUCGACUGGGACAGGGGUUCAUACUGUGUAAGCAUUUUGUUGUUGUUUUUGGGUGUAGUAACAUUCUUGGUUUACUGGCAUGGUAAGUAUCAAUAUAGUAAAUAACUACAUUUUCUUGAGCAUGUUUGAAUUUCGGACCUGCUUCUUAUAUUCAGGAAACUCAUCCACUAGCAUAGAGUUAUAUGAAUAAGAGAAGUGUGGCCAAGAAUUGGAUUUAGAGUGCUUUUCUUAAUUAGUCUCAUAUGAGCUUAUCAAGUCUUGCUGUACAAAGCAUUGCAUUCGUUAUUAUAAGUUUAGGAGCCAUGUACAAAACUGUUUUAACAGUACAAUGUUUUAAUUCCAAGAAGCAACUAAUCAUAACGACAAGUUGGCAGGUCAUCACUUGAUGUAGUACUGCGCUUCUCAUGCUGGGAAACAACACAUGCUCCAUUUUUAUCCAUUGGACCUUCAUUUAGUGCAAGGGAGUAAUUUAAUGUCUUGAAACUGAAAUUAGUCACAUGUACUGCAACACAUUAUUGUAAAUGGUAUUCUGAAUUUAAGUUACACAGUACUAACUACUAAGCUACUUAAUAUUUUGUCGAAUCUGUUGGAAACUACCAAUAGUUGGUGGUA
Molecule: long non-coding RNA, 1381 nt
Organism: Papaver somniferum (opium poppy)
Lineage: Eukaryota; Viridiplantae; Streptophyta; Magnoliopsida; Ranunculales; Papaveraceae
Exons: 2
Source: RefSeq, a predicted model, not a curated record